Molecule: unclassified non-coding RNA, 342 nt
Filed under: uncultured Russula
Lineage: Eukaryota; Fungi; Basidiomycota; Agaricomycetes; Russulales; Russulaceae
Description: sequence contains ITS2
Source: RNAcentral
AACGCACCUUGCGCCCCUUGGCAUUCCGAGGGGCACACCCGUUUGAGUGUCGUGAAAUCCUCAAAAUCCUCUUCUUUGAUCGGAACAGGACUUUUGGACUUGGAGGUUCAAUGCUCGCUUUCACCUUUGAAAGCGAGCUCCUCUCAAAUGAAUUAGUGGGGUCCGCUUUGCUGGUCCUUGACGUGAUAAGAUGUUUCUACGUUUUGGAUUUGGCACUGUUUUCUCCGCUCCUAACCGUCUCGUGGACAACGAUGGUGCUCCGGUCGCCGCCGUCUGUGGCGGGAGGCUGGACCCACAAAAAACCUUGACCUCAAAUCGGGUGAGACUACCCGCUGAACUUAA